Molecule: transfer RNA, 74 nt
Filed under: Candidatus Calescibacterium sp.
Lineage: Bacteria; Candidatus Calescibacteriota; Candidatus Calescibacteriales; Candidatus Calescibacteriaceae
Description: tRNA-Trp
Rfam family: tRNA
About the family: Transfer RNA (tRNA) molecules are approximately 80 nucleotides in length. Their secondary structure includes four short double-helical elements and three loops (D, anti-codon, and T loops). Further hydrogen bonds mediate the characteristic L-shaped molecular structure. tRNAs have two regions of fundamental functional importance: the anti-codon, which is responsible for specific mRNA codon recognition, and the 3' end, to which the tRNAs corresponding amino acid is attached (by aminoacyl-tRNA synthetases). tRNAs cope with the degeneracy of the genetic code in two manners: having more than one tRNA (with a specific anti-codon) for a particular amino acid; and 'wobble' base-pairing, i.e. permitting non-standard base-pairing at the 3rd anti-codon position.
Source: RNAcentral
AGGCCCGUAGCUCAAGAAGGUAGAGCAUCGGAUUCCAAAUCCGAAGGUUGUGGGUUCGAGUCCCACCGGGCCUA